CCUACGGGUGGCUGCAGUGAGGAAUAUUGGUCAAUGGACGCAAGUCUGAACCAGCCAUGCCGCGUGCAGGAAGACGGCUCUAUGUGUUGUAAACUGCUUUUGUACGAGGGUAAACGCGGAUACGUGUCUCUGUCUGAAUGUAUCGUACGAAUAAGCAUCGGCUAACUCCGUGCCAGCAGCCGCGGUAAUACGGAGGAUUCAAGCGUUAUCCGGAUUUAUUGGGUUUAAAGGGUGCGUAGGCGGUCGGAUAAGUUAGAGGUGAAAUCCCGAGGCUCAACGCCGGAAUUGCCUCUGAUACUGGUAGGCUAGAGAGGAGUAGCGGUAGGCGGAAUGUAUGGUGUAGCGGUGAAAUGCAUAGAGAUCGUACAGAACUCCGAUUGCGAAGGCAGCUUACCAAGCCAAUACUGACGCUGAGGCACGAAAGCGUGGGGAGCGAACAGGAUUAGAUACCCUAGUAGUC
This 460-nucleotide ribosomal RNA is filed under the name uncultured bacterium. RNAcentral's name for it is "partial 16S ribosomal RNA". It matches the Rfam family "Bacterial small subunit ribosomal RNA", at positions 338 to 795 of the family's 1533-position model. The record is from RNAcentral.